GGGCACCCCAGGCUAGGGGUUGAAUAGAGUUGUAGCUGCUGGCCCACACCUCAGCUGUAGCAACGCAGGAUCUGAGCUGCAUCUGCAACCUACACACAGCUCACAGCAACACCAGAUCCUUAACCCACUGUUCGAGGCCCGGGAUCAAACCCAUGUCCUCAUGGAUACCAGUCAGGUUCAUUACAACUGAGCCACAAUGGGAAUUACUGAUGGUAGUACCAAUUUCAUAGAGGCCUACUUGAUUCUAAGUUAUCCAGUCAUGCACUUGAAAUGGGAACAGCUUGGUAUAUGUCAGCUAUACCUCAAUGAAGCUGUUAAAAAGAAAAAAAAGAGGAAUUCCCUUGUAGUUCAGCAGGUUAAAAACCUGACAUAGUGUCUGUGAGGAUACAGGUUCCAUCCUUGGCCUCGCUCACUGGGUUAAGGAUCUGGCCUUGCCAAGGCUGUGGUGUAGGCCUCAGCUGUAGCUCUGAUUUGACCCAUGGCCUGGGAACUUCUAUAUGCUUCAGGUGAGGCCAUAAAAAAAAGAAAAAAGGAAAAACCACCAACCCAAUUUAUUUGAAAGUAACUCUUUCUUGGACGCUAUCCUGCAUCCCAGAGCCCCCUCUCUGGAAGUGAAAGGCUUAGGAGACCCCACCAUCCCACUUCCUCUGCCUCCACCCGGUCCUCUGUGAAAGGCCUGGCAGUGGUAACCUGCUCACCACUGCAGCCGCUUGGGGAGCUCCACACUGUUUUUGUCUUUGUUGAAAUCUGCAAUGUACCAAUCAGUAACAAGAGUCUACCAAACAACUAUCAAAAGAAAUAAAAAUGAGCAGCCCUGCACCAGCAACACAGUUAGCUCUACUGAGUGCUAUUUCUCCCCCCCGAUCACCGGCCCCUCCUCAUGGCAGCAGGGCAGGCCGUGGACCAGCGUGGGUGGUCGGUCUGCUGGGCAGCCCCUCCAGUUCAGUUCCUUGUGGGCAGCCUGGGAUUGCUGCUCUCCAUCUCCUUAAUGAACUCUGACGCUCCUGGAAAGCAUUUGUUUACGUAAAAUGUAGCUGAGGGAGGAGUGGGCGGUCGAGUGGAGAAGGAGGGGCACAAGGCCUCCAGGGGAGGUGGGGACAGUGCCCUCAGGAUGGGUUUGCCCCUUCUGCAGGGGAGUGCAAGGAGAACCCUAGCAGGGCUUGGCUGCAAGGCAUGCUGGGACCUCAGCCACAACCAGAGGGAGCUGACUUUGCUGCAGGACAUGCCCUUAGGAGAGGGGGCAUCAAUCCUGUAUCCUGGGUCCAAAGAUGCCGGAUGUCCUUGGCCUUGUACUGACCACUUCAAUGGUACUCAAGGGGUUGUGGUACUUAAGCGUGGGGGUGGGGGUGAGGGAGGGUCAGGGCCCAGGCCAGAGCAGCUCCUGGCUCCAAGUGGUCAGUAUCCUAAUCACAGCACAGAUUGAAGGAAAUGGGGCAGCCCUUGGAGCCUUGGGGAGAAGAGGAUGACCAGGGCCUGGCAGAACAUGGCCGAAGUGGCAGCAUCCACUACGAGAGAUCUGGGUCCAGAUGCAGUCCUGUGAUUGCUCUCAGGCCAUCUGUCCCAUCCCUAAAUGCCAGCUGCUCAUUAUUAGGCAGGCACAUCAUCCUCAUCCUCCCUUGCCAUCUUCCUAACCCAUCUCAUGUUUCCCCACAUUUGACCUCAUUUUCUCCUCCUGGAUUUGACUCUGAGAACCACCUCCCAGCUUUGAACAUUCACUGCCCUCCUAGAGCAGAAGGCAGUUAAUCCCAGGGGCUUCUCAGGUAUGAUGUCAACCACCCACUAGCCCAGCUUGGCUCUGGACCCAGGCCUGCGGCAAGGACCAUUCAGGGUGACUCCCAGAGCUCCACUCGGGCCCACAGCUGAGUGCAGAUGAAAGGAGAGCCUGGUGGUGUGGGCUGGCUGCCACUGCAGCACCAAGCUGGCAGCUCACUGGUACUCAGGACCCAGCUCAUCCAGUCACCUACACCAAGGGGGCUCCUGUCCUGCUCUGAAUUAAGUCUAGAAUCAGCAGUGAUGGUGAAGAUGGUGUCAGAACAGGUACAAGGAUAUUGGUGGGAACAAUGUUCCUAGGAGGCAAGCCAGAAAUAACCGAAGUUCACCAACAACAGAAGAGAUGAUGAAAUGGUUCUGCUCACAUAAAGAGGUAAUCAAGUUAAGUAAUCAUGUUAAUGAGAGGUCAUGAGGGUGUGCCCUGAUCCAAUCUGACUGGUGUUCUUCUAAGAGGAGAUGGGAACACAGACAGGCACAGAAAGAGGACAAUGGGAAGACACAGGGAGAAGGCAGCUAUCUGCAAACCAGAGGCCACAGGAGAAACCAACCCUACCAAUGCUUGGAUUUUGGACUUUCAGCCCCCAGAACUAUGAGGAAUAGAUUUCUGUUGCUCAAGACCCCUUGUCCGUGGUGCUUUUUUGUGUCCACCCAAGCAGACUAAGACAGCAGCCUUCGGUCCUCCAGGC
This 2456-nucleotide long non-coding RNA is filed under the name Sus scrofa (pig). RNAcentral describes it as "lncRNA (ENSSSCG00025033498.1)". Lineage: Eukaryota; Metazoa; Chordata; Mammalia; Artiodactyla; Suidae. The record is from RNAcentral.